CCGCUGUCCCUCCUGCAGAGGGACCACGACCUGGGAGUCUUUAAAGCCUUUUGUUUAAAGUCUUUUUUUUAUUCAUAACGGAUAACUGUAAAACAGCGGGCUGAAGCCACGAAUUUCAUUAAUCACAUGCAAUUACAAGCCCAGAAAAAUAGUAUCCAGAAGUAGUUAGCUACAGGACUGAUCACAGCAUCACAACAUCACAGGAUCAAUUAGGUUGGUGAAGACGUCUGAGAUAUCGAAUCCAACCUGUGACCGACCACUCCCAUGUCAACUAGACCAUGGCACUGAGUGCCACGUCCAGUCUUUCCUUAAAAACAUCCAGGGAUGGUAACUCCACCACCCCUCUGGGCCGCCCAAUCCAUUAACCUUUCUGUGAAGAAAUUCCUCCUAAUGUCCAACCUAAAUCUCCCCAGGUGCAGAUAAAGACUGUGUCCUCUCUUCCUUUCACAGGCUGCCUGGCAGAAGAGACCAAGCCCUAUCCAUCUUACAGUCAUCUUUCAGGGAAUUGUAGAGAGCAUAAGGUCACCUCUGUCUCCUUUUCUCCAGGCCUAACAACCCCAGCUUUCUCUGCUGUUCCUCACCAGACUUGUGCUCCAGGCUCUUCUCCAGCUCCACUGUCCUUCUCUGGACAUGCUCCAGCCCCUCAACAUGCUUCCUGAAUUGUGGGACCCAGAACUGGCCAUGGGACUCCAGGUGUGGCCUCACCAGUGCUGAGAACAGGGGAAGAUGUUUGGCUGUGUCAGUCACUAGGAGCUUUGCCAGCUGGCAGACUCCUUUAAUUUUAUUGCAUGAAUGAGAGUGGAUUUGCACAAUGCCAUGGCAUCAAUGGUUUCACAUGAUUCCACAGUUAAAUUAAGAUAUUUACAAGUAACUGCUAGUAUGUAAUCUAAUGUGUUACCAUGAUUAUUUCCAUAACUUUCAAUAAGGUUUUUUUCAGGGCAAACUUAACAGUAUCCCUGUUUUGAACAGUUAUAGUUCCGCACAGGCACCCUGAGCAAAGCAGAAACAUUCACUGGAAAUGUGUAUCAGAGGACACACAGACAUCUUCAGACAUGCAACUGCCACUAAACAGUCAGUAAAAUCCCCGCUCUUUUAAAUCUCUUACAUCUCUCACCUUUGCUUAUGGCCGCUGCAGUGGUUUCAGUUACCUCAUUCCAUAAAAGAGCUUACUGGGUUGAUUUUUACUCUCUUCAGUGGGAGCAGCACCUUGUGUUCUGUUCAACAUUAUCUAUCCAUCAUGGAAUAAUUGGAAGAAGGUAAUAGUGAUGCUGCCACCAAAGUACCUCCAAAUGUAUUUGUUCAUACGUGCUAAGAGCCUUGCUAAAUUAUGCCCUUACAUACACAUGAACAACUUUCCUGGGUGUACAGGGAAGGAAAAAAAAAAAAGGAACAUCAAUAUGUCAUCCAAAUCUUUUCCUGGCAUUAGUUUUGCAGUUGAAGGCCAACCGUUUCAGACUGGCACCUAGAGAAAGUUGAAACAUCAUCUCUUUAAUUAAAUUUGCCAUGGAAAAAAGAA
Long non-coding RNA from Motacilla alba alba, 1516 nucleotides. RefSeq lists it as uncharacterized. The record is from RefSeq and is a predicted model, not a curated record. The transcript is spliced from 2 exons. NCBI's taxonomy places the organism in Eukaryota, Metazoa, Chordata, Aves, Passeriformes, Motacillidae.